GGCCCAGUAGCGGAUGGUCCGCACCUGCAUCUCUUGACUGGAUCGCACAGUGCAUGCAGGAGCCGCUCGUUCGAAUCGAGCCUGGGUCA
Non-coding RNA from Mycena epipterygia, 89 nucleotides. NCBI's taxonomy places the organism in Eukaryota, Fungi, Basidiomycota, Agaricomycetes, Agaricales, Mycenaceae. The record is from the annotation of a GenBank genome assembly.